Long non-coding RNA from Myotis brandtii (Brandt's bat), 6740 nucleotides. RefSeq lists it as uncharacterized. The record is from RefSeq and is a predicted model, not a curated record. Lineage: Eukaryota; Metazoa; Chordata; Mammalia; Chiroptera; Vespertilionidae. The transcript has 4 exons.
UAGUAUAAUGCCUGCCCUCACGGUCCAUCCAUAUUGUCACAAAUGGAGGAAUUCUCUCUUUCUCACAGCUGUGCAGUGUGAGGGCAUCUACUGCAUCUCCAUGCAGCCGUCCACUGUCAUCCAUGCUCCACUGCAGGGGGAUUUUAAGAGACAAGUAAAAGCAUCAAGGACAACUCUGAGUCCCCUCGCCCAUCCAGCCAUUUCCCUCCUCUGUCACCCAAGGACCUUCUCAGCCUCCUGGAUCUGAACCACUUUUGUGAGGUUUUUUUAAACUCGAAUGGCGAGCUUUCAUUGCGUGGGAUAGUAAAUAACUGUGUGGCAAAGGCCUUCAUUACAAACCAGAAAUCAAGAAAAUCUCAUUCGGAAAGAUACCGGCUCUGUUGGUGGCUGCAGAGUGCUGAUCCCUAGGCAGGUUCCAAACACUGUGACAUGUGGUACGUGUUCUGCAGCCACUGGGCGUGGGGGCCAGAGAAGCUGGGAAACAGCACCAGCCUCUGUCCCCGUCCACUCAGGGCAAGUUCACGCACAUGCUUGCUUUGUGAAUGUGGUGCCAGUUUCCAGAUCUGUAAAAUGAGGGUGAGGAGAGCACCUGCUUUCUAGGGUGCCUACUCUUAAUCACGAGGCCAGGAUGCUCUGCUAGGGCGGAGCCUCUUUCAUGCUGCCCUCUUACUGGUCCCAAGCUCCUUCCAUCAUUUUCCUCUAUGGACAGUUUACCAAACGUGCUGAGUCAUCUUUAUGGAACUUGGUCCCCCUUCUAUAAAGUGAAGGGCAGGAGGGCUUUGUUUUCUGCUUUUCCAGAAAAAAGAUUCUUAAAAUAGAAUCGGGGUGGCGAGUUUCUUAAUUUAGGUGGCGGGCCAGUGGUUGUGAGAGCUAAAAGCCACCCAUGGCCUCACUCUCCCCACAUGGUGCCACACCUUUCAGUGGGGGGUCCCUCGGGGGUUUGGAACAGGGGAAGCUCUGCACAGACCUACUGACAUCUGAAACAGGCGAGAGCAGUGCCGAUCACACACACUCAGAGAUGCAGGCAGAAUAAAUCAGUGCUCACCACGGGGCAGUGUGCACAGAGCGCCCCUGCGACUGCUAAUGGGGACAGGGCCCGGCCUUCUCAGCGCCUCUGUCCCUGACUGUGACACCUGCAUUCCCAGCACCGAGCAUCACCUAGGAGAUGCUGAGGAACCCAGAAGGGACAGGCCUGAGGCUCAGCUGUUUGUCCUCGCAGGUUGGCUGGGGACAAGGGCCCCGGUCACUACUCCCUAACCAUGCACCUGACCCCGGGGCUGCCAUUUCUGCCCACCUCUGUUUACAGUGAGUGCAGAGGGAGGGGUGGCCUGGGCAGUUCCAGGCGAGGCAUUAGGCCCUGUGCACACCCGGGGGAGACGGCCCUGUCACCACCACACACUCUCAGGGUGGCUGCUUUGGAUGACCACUGGGCCCUGGGACAAGGCUGAAGACCUUUGCAGGUCAGGAAUCACCUGUGACAAUCAAAGGCAUGUGCUCCCAGUCACUGGGUGAGAACAUUCCUGACCCUCUGCAGAUGCUGGGGGUGGGGGGCUGGCGGUGCUACAGUACGAGGUCUCCAGCCCUCCUGGAAGGUGUGGCUGCAGGAGGUUAGAGCGUGAGGAGGGGGAACUAGGCUCUGAGAACUGGGUGGCAGGGACAUUGACCAGCCAGAAUGACUGCUGUGUCACGGCAGGCACAGUGGUCUAACCCUCACGCUGUCUCCUAGGUGUCACCCUGGAGCAAUGAGCGGCGCAUGCAGAGGAACACAGCAGGUGGGCCUCUGCCCGGAGGAGCCAGAAAACCAAACAGGUACAAUGCACAUGUCAUCACUGCACACUCUCCCAAGAUCAGAGUUGGCAGAGUGAGGCCAGGCUGUAGUCAGACCCUGCAAGGUGGCUGUGCGUCACUAAACCACCACAGGUAGUUUCUACUUACACCCCAAACCACCAGGGCAGAGCAGGGAGCCUCGGGCCUCGCCCAGUCUGGUGGUGUGUGUCGUGGGGGGAAAGCCAGACUUCUCACAGGCCUUUAGAAUUGAAUCACUCCAGGUCCAUGGCACGCACAGCCCUGCAGGGAUAGUCCAGAAGUUUUCUUGGACACUCAAUUAGCAUGGAAUGCAUGGAAUGAUUUUCCCAAAGUGUCUCUUCAAAUGAUAGGAGUUUUGGCUUUUUCUGCAGGUUUCCCAGGCUCUUCCUUUCACAGGACCCCACUCCCUGCAGUCACCUCCCACCCCCGGAGACCUGGAACCUUGGCCUGAGGACCCUUGCUCUCCUCUGAACUCACAGAUGCCAUGUUUUGUCUUUGUGAUUUACUUGACAUUACAGCCAGGUGACACCCCUCCUCUUCUAUCCUGUGGUUUCCACCUCCUACUGGUGUAACUUUGCACAUUUGCAGCUCCUCAAGUGGCCUGCAAGCUCCUUGAAGACAGGAAGUACUGAUGCAGCCACACAGCACCUGGGAGAGGCCCUCCUGCUAGCUCUGGCUCCUGCCUUUCUCUGACUAUCCUUCUUGCAAAAGCACACUACACCAAGCAAUGUAAAAAUCUAAACCAAUUCAUAUUCCUAAGUUACCAACUCUAAUAUCAGGUUUAAUCAAGACUGAGCAGUUAAAUCCUUAUGUCAGUCUCAAACAGAAGAGGAACACGCAGCAACCAGGGGCAGCCACACUGGCCAAGGGCAGCCUCUGCUGAUCCAAGGCCCUGACACCAAGGUGACCAAGUUCACUCCUGUGAUUCAAUGAUGCCACUGAAUGAAUCGGUUGGCAAUCUAUGGCCUGCAGGCCAAAUCUGGCCCAAGGAACAUUUUUGUGCACUUUUAAAUGGUUGGGGGAAAAAAUCAAAAGAAUAUUUUGUGACGUGGAAAUUGUAUGAAAUAGUUUUACUGGGACGCAGCCGUGCUUUCAGACGACAAGGGCAGAGCCACGUUGUUGUGACAAGGAUCACAGGACCCACAAAACCUACAGUACUUUCGACGUGGCCUUUUAGGGAAAAACAUCUGCUGGCUCCUGGAUUGGAAGGCAUGCCAUGGAUUUAAUGAGGUUUUGGUUGUUUAUUAAAAUAUAUAAAUCAAGUAUACGAUGUCUCCUGAUUUAAGUCUGUGAAUCAGGACAUAUGGCACCAGCUAGAUCUGGCUUUCCAAAUAUUAUACAUUUCUCUGAGCCUUUAGGAAAUGCUUUCGGGAGAACCCUUGUACAGGGGCUGAGCUAGAUAAGGGGGUUGUCUAGCUUACAGGCUUUAGAAUCUGUCAUUCAAAGGGAGAGUUGCCAUCACUUACGCCUCCCAUUUCUGACUGUGCCCUCAGGAGCCAUUUCCCUUUGAUCCUAUAGCCCCUGCAGAUCAUACCCAUUUACGGCUGACUCUCAUUGUCCAUAAAGUCAUUGGGAACAGUGAAUUCCAAACACUGAACCUUCACUCCUAGGGAAAAUAUGGAGUUAGGUUUCUAUGAGCUACUGAUCAUGACAUUUUCAUAAAACGAUCUCUACUUAACCUUGUUUUAUGUGUAUUUCUGUUUAAAGACUCCUUAUUUAAUGUACACUGCUGACUCCUUAACAUUGAACUCACAUUCAACAGCACUAUACCGCAUGCCUGAACAAAGCUUACUGAACACUUACUUUCUCCAUGAAGCACAUCACAGCCUCCUGCCCUUAAGAACACAAGACAGUGUAUGAGCACUACAUUUGGGGACAAUUUUAAACAGCAACAUCACUAACAAAAAUGCAAGAAAUGUGUUACCAAGUAGAUCAUGAAAAGCACACUUAUUUACUGUAUGAGCUGAAACAAGAAGGGAGAAUGUCACCUUGCUUGACCUUCAUUGGGAACAUGACUCAAUUUAUUACUCUGCUCAUGUCUGUGAAAGUGCUGAGAGUAUUGAUUUGGGGGGUGCGGGUUACAAGUAUUUUAAAUGUUUUUGUUAGUCCUCACCUGAGGAUUUUUUUUCCAUUGUUUUUUUGGGAGAGAGUGGAAGGGAGGGGGAGAGAGAGAGACACAUCGAUUGGAUUGGUAGCCUCCCGCAUGUACAGGUGCCUGGGAUCGAGCCUGCAAGUACAUGCCCUUGACUGGGAAUUGAACCCGUGACCCGUGUGUGUAGGCUCAUGCUCUAACUCUUGAGCAACACCGGCCAGGGCUGGAGGAUACAAUUUUAACUAGUAGGCAAACUCAAAAAUACAGAAUCUGCAAAUAAUGAUCGACUGUGUGUGAAGAUAUAUACACUUUCUACUCCCUUUAACCAUGACCUUGAUCAACUGGCAUCUUCAAUGUCAGUCAUUUCAUAGGAUCUGCCCUAGUCCAAAAUGGCACUGAUAAUAACGUUCCUCUUUUCUGUUGAUUAACGAUGUCUGUGUCCCUUAAGAAAUUUCUUCACUAUUUCUUUUUGUAUUAAAUUAGACCUGAGGUUUAAGGCUCCUUUCGAGCGUGUGGACGAGUCUCCGGUUUCCUUCGAUUGGACACCCUGCUCCACUGAGGCUUCUGCCUUCCAUCCCUGCAAGGUCCAUGGCCACAUCCGCACCGGCUGCCACAGGUGCUGCUCUCCCACUCGUCAUGCCCUCUGAGCUACACGACUUUACUUAGUGGAGCCCCUUGUUCAGAGUUUAUGAAGGACCUCAAGAUGGAGACAGCGGAACAGGAAGCUUAAGAGUGAGACCCUUCUACCAGUACGUGUGGGACGCUAAAGUGACACCUCUCCUCACCUACCAGCAGCCCAGGAGCUAACCAGGUGCAGGGCUGGCUAUGCACAGAUGCCUCUCACAGAUGAGGAAGCUAAGGACUGGAGGUUUACACACUUGUCCAAGGACACAAUAAAUGGCAGAGAAGACAUAUAAACCUAGCUUGGUCUGUUUCCAAAGCCUGGCUCUUGACCACAAUGCUUCAUGGCCUUGUGGCUUGUCAUCAAAGUGUUUUAUGAAUCCUGACUUGCCAACACCUCUGAGGAAGGAAAACAUACUUUGAUUUUCCAGAACAACUGGAAGAGCCACAGACAAUCUAAGCUGGAGCUAGAAUUAGAAAGCAAUGUUUUCAUAUUCAAGUUCAAAUAUCAAAGACACUUGGGGAAACUGGCCAUCUACCCAUGGAAGAAUGCGCAUACAAAGAAGCACUUUCCAUUCUCUUUGCCCCAGAUCACAUGACAAUGCCAGAUCACAUGACAAUGAGGUACUGUCAUGUGACCUCUCAGAUAACCUGAGGAGGGGAGGGGGGCUUGUGUGUAGUGGCAGUCUGCAGCCAAGGGAAUAUCUAAAACUUACAAAGAGAAUAUACCAUGUUCAUCUUUAUCUCUGGUAAGGUAGAAAAUGAAGGAUUAUGUUUUCUUUUAUGUAGUGACUAGCUGAUAACAACAUUCUGAGUUGGAAACUGCUCUUACCAUCACUUAAUUACACAGCACAUUUGUUACUUUAUCAUAACCUGUAUACAUGAUAAUUGACAGGGUCAUCAGCACUUUAGAAUGGCUACGUUUCUGAAUAGUACAUGCAACCCUGGAAGCCAGGAAUGCCACUGUUUGCAAUUAAACCUGUGCUUUUGUAUAAAGAUAUGGAUUGUCUUGCAAAAUUAACUUCACGUAUUAAUAAUCUUCUCCUUGAGUUGAAUUGGUGAGGUUUUUGAUUUGUCUAUUUUUGUGGGGGGAAAUAAGUCCCUAAUAGCUACUGCACCAAUUCCUGAGGCUUUCACAAUAUUAGUUGUGGUUUCAAAUAUUUGACAUUCACAUUAAGAAUUAAAUACCAUCCGUUAUAUAACUUUUUUUUUCUUUAAAAUUAAAAACUUGCUAUAAAAACACUAAAAAAGGAUGGUAAUAACCAGGACGUUAAUAUUAAAGCUAUAGAUCUGGUUCAACCAAAAUUUUAAUGUUAACCUAAAACUUUCUAAAAGAAACUGAAAGUUUGCAAAUAGCAGCCUAUAUUUCCCAUCCACAUAUUAACUUUUGAGGUUAUGACAUUUUAUGGAGUAAAACUUUUGUUUUUCAAUCUAGAAAUAUUUAUGGGUGUCAUCCUAUACAUUAAAAAAUUACCUAAAAUUAGAAUAAGUGAAUACAUUUCACAACUAUAUUUCAAUACUAUUUGACACAUAAUAGAAGAUUAAGCAAAGACCUUCAUAUUUCUGAUGGCUGUGUUAUCAGAAGUUCUCAAAAUAUGAACAACCUGUGUCGAAUUUUACUUUUACAUAACUGUAGUGGUUGAAAUAUAUUGUACCAAUUUUACGGAGAGAUUUUUUAGAAGCUGAAACAAACCCACAAAUAAAGAGAACUUGAGCAAAACCUCAGGAUUUGGAGGUCUGCCCAGAUUUUGUGAAUUUACUUAUUAAGCAGCAUGGCUGCUGGAAAUCGUCCAGAACCUAGGGGCUGCAGAAGAGCAGAGACUACGGGCGGAAGUCCGUCUGCUCUCCUCUGCGAGCAGAAGGAGCACAAAACUCUUGCUGUCACUGCUAAACAGUCUCCUCAUUCGCUGGACAUCAGGGGUGCAACCUCACAUCCCAAGUAAGAGGAAGGAUGCUUAGGCAUUCCACAGGUUUGCAAAAUGAGCAAACUAAAGCCCACAGUUCCUGUGAUUCAUAAAAUUCUUGUUCUGCCUUUUGAUUUUGCUUUUCCGGCAUCUAUAAAAAAUCAGAAAUCAAAGUACUGAGCUCCUUGGAAGCUAAUACAUCACCCUGGACAGCUUCAAAAUCAUAUCAGAAUUGAUUAUAGGCUGGCUGAUUAAAUGUGCAGGGGUGGGCAAACAGGUUACAGUUGUUCAUAUGGAAAAUACCAACUAAUAAAUAA